Long non-coding RNA from Cavia porcellus (domestic guinea pig), 1077 nucleotides. RefSeq lists it as uncharacterized. The transcript is spliced from 2 exons. NCBI's taxonomy places the organism in Eukaryota, Metazoa, Chordata, Mammalia, Rodentia, Caviidae. The record is from RefSeq and is a predicted model, not a curated record.
ACAUCGGAGUGGUUGUGUUGCUGUGGCACUGUGAGCACCUUAAGGACAGGGAUUGCCUCCCUAGCACGGAACAUGCUGCCCAGCACACACAGGUGCUCCUUAGACACUGCAUCUGGAGAGACCAUGUCCACAGCAACAGUCUGUAUACUGAAAGGCAUCAGAGUUGCAAUAGACGUUUCCCACACUAUGGUAAAUCUUCCGUAACAGGGACUCAGCCCCAGCUGAGUGUCAGUAGACUCUUGAACCCACACUAGGCAGACUGAGCCAAGCAUUUUAGAAGGGCCUCAGGCAGCUCCCAGCUGAUCCUCAUGUGCUGCGGGGGUGAGGGGGUAGGUAGCUCUUUAGAACAGUGUCCAGGUGACAUUUCUGCAUGUCUAGACCGCUGCUUCCUGCUCUGGACCUUGGACUCUGAACCUCAGAUAGAUAUUUUGAGUGCAGCGGCCAAUCCUUGAUGUCCUCGUUGCCCUUGGUUUUUAGGAGGAUAUUUCUGAAAUGAGUAUAAGAUAUAGCUUAGAAAAAUGAUCAAAGGAGACAACCAAACUGAGCAAAGAAAUAAGUCUAGUUCACAUGCUCAUGCAAGGGUGUGACCUAAGCUGACAACCGCUUCUCCUGGCCUCAUCCAUCACUGCAGCCCACCUUGUGGGCACUGGAAUACAAGAGCAGCACAGGAUUUCAGCUUUGCCAUUGUGAUUGGGUUUUUUCUUUCUCUCUCAGACUGAGGAAGUGAGUCUUGAUGAUUAUGUAUGUAUCAAGGGUUUUUUUUCCUGCUGGUUUAGUCCUGAAGUCUUGAACUAGAUGAAUUCUGGUAGAAGUAGGAGGAGGGUGCUCAGCAUGGUGGGCAUGCAGGUGCUGAGCCUCCGUCCCCAGGGAACGCCAGAAUGAGCACCCAUUGAAGAAGGAAACAUGGCAUAAUGAUGUGGCCCGCAGGAGACUGCUUCUCCCUGCCUGUGUUGGGACUGACUUCACAUUUCUCGUGUGGUUUGGCUUCAGAAUCGAGCUGAAACAUCAGUGCCAAGCUGCCUAAUAAAGGCUGACAUGAGCAUGUGUUUAAAACCUAAUAAAAUAUUGCCUCCAAAA